RNAcentral lists this ribosomal RNA (467 nucleotides) under uncultured bacterium. RNAcentral describes it as "partial 16S ribosomal RNA". It matches the Rfam family "Bacterial small subunit ribosomal RNA", at positions 29 to 507 of the family's 1533-position model. The record is from RNAcentral.
ACGAACGCUGGCGGCGUGCUUAACACAUGCAAGUCGAACGGAAAGGCCCUGCUUUUGUGGGGUGCUCGAGUGGCGAACGGGUGAGUAACACGUGAGUAACCUGCCCUUGACUUUGGGAUAACUUCAGGAAACUGGGGCUAAUACCGGAUAGGAGCUCCUGCUGCAUGGUGGGGGUUGGAAAGUUUCGGCGGUUGGGGAUGGACUCGCGGCUUAUCAGCUUGUUGGUGGGGUAGUGGCUUACCAAGGCUUUGACGGGUAGCCGGCCUGAGAGGGUGAACGGCGACAUUGGGACUGAGAUACGGCCCAGACGCGUACGGGAGGCAGCAGUGGGGAAUAUUGCACAAUGGGCGGGAGCCUGAUGCAGCAACGCCGCGUGCGGGAUGACGGCCUUCGGGUUGUAAACCGCUUUCGCCUGUGACGAAGCGUGAGUGACGGUAAUGGGUAAAGAAGCACCGGCUAACUACGUG